UCCCACCUGAUCCCAUGCCGAACUCAGAAGUGAAACGUUGUAGCGCCGAUGGUAGUGUGGGGUCUCCCCAUGUGAGAGUAGGGAACUGCCAGGC
RNAcentral lists this ribosomal RNA (94 nucleotides) under Proteus hauseri. The record is from RNAcentral. RNAcentral also lists the same sequence under 2 other names. Lineage: Bacteria; Pseudomonadati; Pseudomonadota; Gammaproteobacteria; Enterobacterales; Morganellaceae.